CGAAAUGAAGCAAGGCAAAAGCGUGCUCAAGCCCUUGAACUGCCAGACAUGACACUCAGACGCAAGCUCCUCAGUGCUCGAGACAUGGCACAAAGAACUGUUAUUGGUCAGGAUCGAAUUGUGUAUAGUACUGAUCGAGAUUUAAUCGAGCAAAAUUAUGAGCUCCAAGAAUGGGAAAGGAAGUUUCGAGAGAUAGAAAAGUCAGAUUAGAG
This 212-nucleotide unclassified non-coding RNA is filed under the name Hevea brasiliensis (rubber tree). The record is from RNAcentral. Lineage: Eukaryota; Viridiplantae; Streptophyta; Magnoliopsida; Malpighiales; Euphorbiaceae.